This 395-nucleotide ribosomal RNA is filed under the name uncultured bacterium. Its description in RNAcentral is "partial 16S ribosomal RNA". It matches the Rfam family "Bacterial small subunit ribosomal RNA", at positions 523 to 918 of the family's 1533-position model. The record is from RNAcentral.
AUACGUAGGGUGCAAGCGUUAAUCGGAAUUACUGGGCGUAAAGCGUGCGCAGGCGGUUUUGUAAGACAGAGGUGAAAUCCCCGGGCUCAACCUGGGAACUGCCUUUGUGACUGCAAGGCUAGAGUACGGCAGAGGGGGAUGGAAUUCCGCGUGUAGCAGUGAAAAGCGUAGAUAUGCGGAGGAACACCGAUGGCGAAGGCAAUCCCCUGGGCCUGUACUGACGCUCAUGCACGAAAGCGUGGGGAGCAAACAGGAUUAGAUACCCUGGUAGUCCACGCCCUAAACGAUGUCAACUGGUUGUUGGGUCUUCAUUGACUCAGUAACGAAGCUAACGCGUGAAGUUGACCGCCUGGGGAGUUCGGCCGCAAGGUUGAAACUCAAAUGAAUUGGCGGGG